CACCGGCGGCCCGAGUGGUAACCGUUUUUAUUGGGUUUAAAGGGUCCGUAGCCGGCUUAUUAAGUCUCUUGGGAAAUCUGGCGGCUCAAUCGUCAGGCGGCCAAGAGAUACUGGUAGGCUUGGGACCGGGAGAGGUGGGAGGUACUCCAGGGGUAGGGGUGAAAUCUCGUAAUCCUUGGGGGACCACCGAUGGCGAAGGCAUCCCACCAGAACGGGUCCGACGGUGAGGGACGAAAGCUGGGGGCACGAACCGGAUUAGAUACCCGGGUAGUCCCAGCUGUAAACGAUGCUCGCUAGGUGUCAGGUGCGGUGCGACCGCAUCUGGUGCCGCAGUGAAAACUUGAAGCGAGUCACCUGGGAAGUACGGUCGCAAGGCUG
RNAcentral lists this ribosomal RNA (378 nucleotides) under uncultured archaeon. Its description in RNAcentral is "bacterial SSU rRNA". It matches the Rfam family "Archaeal small subunit ribosomal RNA", at positions 474 to 851 of the family's 1478-position model. The record is from RNAcentral.